CCUACGGGGGGCAGCAGUGGGGAAUAUUGCACAAUGGGGGAAACCCUGAUGCAGCGACGCCGCGUGAGCGAAGAAGUAUUUCGGUAUGUAAAGCUCUAUCAGCAGGAAAGAAAAUGACGGUACCUGACUAAGAAGCUCCGGCUAAAUACGUGCCAGCAGCCGCGGUAAUACGUAUGGAGCAAGCGUUAUCCGGAUUUACUGGGUGUAAAGGGAGCGCAGGCGGUCUGGCAAGUCUGGUGUGAAAGGCCGGGGCUCAACCCCGGGACUGCAUUGGAAACUGUCAGACUAGAGUGUCGGAGAGGUAAGCGGAAUUCCUAGUGUAGCGGUGAAAUGCGUAGAUAUUAGGAGGAACACCAGUGGCGAAGGCGGCUUACUGGACGAUGACUGACGCUGAGGCUCGAAAGCGUGGGGAGCAAACAGGAUUAGAUACCCCAGUA
RNAcentral lists this ribosomal RNA (437 nucleotides) under uncultured bacterium. RNAcentral's name for it is "bacterial SSU rRNA". It matches the Rfam family "Bacterial small subunit ribosomal RNA", at positions 338 to 792 of the family's 1533-position model. The record is from RNAcentral.